Molecule: long non-coding RNA, 1132 nt
Organism: Anthonomus grandis grandis
Lineage: Eukaryota; Metazoa; Arthropoda; Insecta; Coleoptera; Curculionidae
Exons: 2
Source: RefSeq, a predicted model, not a curated record
UAGAUUCCCCUUAACUGGGAGCUACAGCAGCAACAAACCUGACUUAAUUGGCCAAAAAUUAUCGCACGCUGCUCAAGCACCUUCUGACACCACUGACCCGACUAAACUAAGAUGGCCGAAUCGAAACUCCAUAUUUAUAGAGACGACGAAACUACCGGAAAUCUAGUGCUAUCCCUCUUCCUCGUCAAAACAAAACUAUAGAAAAAAAAACAACCCAUUUACAUCUGCCACAAGAGUGACGAGUAGUGACAACAGCUUCAGCUCAAGCCCGUUGCCAAGCAUCACCGGCGAAACCACAACAUGCAGGUGGAAAACGUCAUGCCCGAGUCAACACGAACAAGAGGACGUAAAACAAACUCCAUAAGCAUCAGAAAUCCGGCAUCAAAGCCCUACUGGAAAUGACGGUCACAGGCUCCGUUCCCAACAAUUUUCAAGGAGACCACGGUGCCACCAGAAAUUGGGUAAUUAUUUUAUUUAUUUAAAUGAAUUCCAAAAAUACAUACACCAAAAGAUAGCCGAAUCCCCGCACAUCCCACUGAACCGACAUCUCAGAGAAAUCUAUCGCGAUCGGCCAAAUAUCCUGUGAUAAAGAAUCAGUUUCCAAACGUGGCGUGACAAGAUAUCUCAAUUCGUAAGAUUUUAGGGUAUUCCUUGGCAACGCUGUGAGUACUACAGCGCCCACAUGGUCCAGUUAGCAAAAUCCAGACACGUGAACUUAGCUAACAGGCGCCGAAUGUCUAAACAAAUGUCAAGAUGAAGUCAAAGCAUCGGCCCUCAAAAGAAAUCCUCUCUCCGAGAUGAAAUCUUACAAAACAAGGCGAACGAGGAAUGCCAAGAGUUAAAAAACAAACAGGAUAUCGCGACCAAUCAACAACAGAUAACCAGUGAGAAAAUACGAAACACCGGCACAACAGAGUAUUGCCAAACUGAACCCACACAACCGCGAAACCCAACAGAUCAGUCACGUCACAGGGUGCAAAGCCACAGCGAAGGGACUCGUAGGGGACAAGCUCAGGAAAUGCAUAGUCUCGGAGUAAUUUUUUACAUUGCCACCAUAAUGGCCCCUCAAAGAGAAUUUAUUAAUAAGGUACUGUACUUAUUAUAGUCAAUAAAUAUUCAAUUACUAUUACAA